This 440-nucleotide ribosomal RNA is filed under the name uncultured bacterium. RNAcentral describes it as "partial 16S ribosomal RNA". It matches the Rfam family "Bacterial small subunit ribosomal RNA", at positions 338 to 795 of the family's 1533-position model. The record is from RNAcentral.
CCUACGGGAGGCAGCAGUGGGGGAUAUUGCACAAUGGGGGAAACCCUGAUGCAGCGACGCCGCGUGGGUGAAGAAGCGCCUCGGCGCGUAAAGCCCUGUCAGCAGGGAAGAAAAUGACGGUACCUGAAGAAGAAGCCCCGGCUAACUACGUGCCAGCCGCCGCGGUAAUACGUAGGGGGCAAGCGUUAUCCGGAUUUACUGGGUGUAAAGGGGGCGCAGACGGCGAUGCAAGCCAGGAGUGAAAGGCCGGGGCCCAACCCCGGGACUGGUCUUGGAACUGCGUGGCUAGAGUGCAGGAGGGGCAGGCGGAAUUCCUGGUGUAGGGGUGAAAUGCGUAGUUAUCAGGAGGAACACCGGUGGCGAAGGCGGCCUGCUGGACUGCAACUGACGUUGAGGCCCGAAGGCGUGGGGAGCAAACAGGAUUAGAUACCCUUGUAGUC